RNAcentral lists this long non-coding RNA (2474 nucleotides) under Homo sapiens (human). RNAcentral's name for it is "RAB6C antisense RNA 1 (RAB6C-AS1)". The record is from RNAcentral. Lineage: Eukaryota; Metazoa; Chordata; Mammalia; Primates; Hominidae.
AACAUCACUUCCUCUUUCUGUUCUGACAUCAUCAAUCCACUUUGUAGUUUGCUGGAAUGAGUUAACAUUUGUGAUAUCGUAAACUACUACAGCUGCAGCAGAAUCACGGAUGUACCUGGGAAUGAGGCUACGGAGACGUUCCUGACCCGCCGUAUCCCACAGCCGAAGCCCGAUUGUUCCAUCCUCCAAGAACACCAGCUUGAAUUUCCUCAGCGGAUUCCCGAAGUCUCCGCCCGCGGACAUGGUGGAACUAGAGGAGCUGUCGCCGCCUCAGCCCAGAGACCUCCCGGACCGAUGCUCCUCCAGCCGGCUGACGAAAAAGGAAAUAGCAAUGUUUUUUGAGUAUGGCAAGUGUUUCCAAGCAUUCAGAAGUGGAGAGUGUAGGAUAUCCACUGCAAAAUGAGGUCUGCUUGUCAUCCUCUUAGUCUCCACUGCUAUCCCUCCCUCAUCUCUCUCUGUUUCAUUGAGACCAAAAGACUAGGAGCCUGGCUUCUAGUUUUCAAAAGAGCUAAGUGACUGACCUAGGCUGAUGACUCGCAAUCCUCGUUUUACAGUUGAACCACCUGAGGAGCUUUUUCAAAAUACACAUGUCUGGUUUCCAGACCCAGAGAUUCUGAUUGGAUGAGAAAACUGAUUUGGAGAGAUACUGAGUGAUUUGCCCAGGUCACAGCUGGCAUAAAGGCAACACAAGUGGUCAGGCUCAGCUACUCUGGUUCCUACAGACUUUCCCCUUUGGGAUAGCGUCUCUCACCAUCUUGACUGCUUACCAACAGAAGCGCCAAAACCAAACUUGAGGAUGUCCACAAGCUUGCUCUACACUUCUACAUUCAUCCUCAUCUUUUUUGUGUGUGUUUGUGGGGUAGGGGAGGUGCAGUGUUUACUCAGUGAUCUUUCUACUUUCUAGAAAGUGUCUGUCCUUCAAAACUAUUUAAGAGCCUCUCAUUAGUCAUUUUUUCUCUUAUAUGCUCUGGUUGAGCUUGAAUAGACCAGUUGUUGCUUAAGAAAGAAACUGAAAAGAUUUUAGCUUUUCAGUCCUAUUUGGCAGAGGACUUCAGCUACCUUCUUAUGGUCUUUGGCUGUGUUGGUGCCCUCAUGUGCUCUGGGCUAAGCCACAUACUAAAUUGACUUUUUGGUUUGUAUACCCUUGCUCUCGCCUUCUGAUGAAAACACCUUACCCUCACCACCACCAUCUUUGCUCUCCUUUCCCAAAACUCUUUCCGCCUUGCUGCACUAAGAUAGUGACACCUCCACCACACGUCAAUUCCACACACAUUUAUUAGGUACCUGUGAAGCAGGAUCUUAUCCUCUUAAACUUCCACUUCUCACACUAGAGAGAAAGAUAAGGAAGAUGAGCAAGUGCCUGGAAUGGGGCAGGCUGAGUGGUCACACAGGCACAGAGGCACACUGAGAACCUACAGGGGAGACUGCAGAGUGCCUUCCCUGAUGCUGCAGCUGGAAGUCAUCCUUCCCUCCACCUGGCCCCUGAGACACUCUACUCUGUAGUGUGCAGUCUGAUGGCACUGCUAGAUUUCUUUUUCAGCUCAGGGCCACAGCUUAAACAGCUUUACCUUUCCCCUCAGCACCUGUCCCACUACCUUGCACACAGGUACUCUAUCCGUGUUUAUUGAACAAAGGAGGGAAACUGAUUUCACUUUCACUUGUUCAUUAUCAUUCCAAUUUUUAUGUGAAAAUGGCACAACCCAUUUGGGGUACACUCAUCUCAAAAGAAAAGCCCAAGACUACCUCUGACUGGUACCACCUUUUUUGUGGGUUCCUUGGUGAGAAACCUUUAUCUUUUUCAUACUUUUCUAUUCUCCAUCACUUCUCCAAAAGUGUCUCUUUCCAGCUCUGAUUUAUUCAAAACACACAAACAUUCCUGUUUAGAGAUUCUAGCCCAUGGAUUAUCCGGCUAGUUAGUACCUCUCCUGUUCACUUGGUUAUACUUUAUUAUUGCUCAGAGGUUGGGGAGGCAGAAUGACUGUGUCCCCUCACCCUGGCAGAAUGACUGUGUCACCACUAGGAGCCAUUAGGGCUUCUUCCCAGGAGGACUGCCUGCUUGCUUUCUGGGGACUAGCCCUUAUUUCCCUUCUGUGGUCCAGUGGGGCAAGUGAUUUGUAUUAGACAAAUAUUUAUAAGAAACAACCCCCUCCCCAAAAUAGAGCCACCAAGUAAAGCACAAGCCUGAAAGAUGAUGAACUAUGAAUUGUCUCUAGUGGAUAUAAAUUUCUGCAAAUAUAUCUCAGUCUUUCUCUCUUUUCUCUGGUGAUUAAAAAGUUGGUUUUUGGUAAGGAAAAGGAUUUUUGACCAUAGAGUUAUGCAUCAUGGAAAUUCAAACCCGAUUUCUUAAUACCUGGUCUUCUCCGAAGAGAAAUAAUGAUAGUAAUAGUGGUGCUGGGAACAAUAUGGAAGAUUAUUGAAUGAAAUGGAUUAACUUGAAUAAAAUGCUGUGAAUUAUCUCUAAAAAAAAAAAAAAA